Molecule: ribosomal RNA, 253 nt
Filed under: uncultured bacterium
Lineage: Bacteria
Description: partial 16S ribosomal RNA
Rfam family: Bacterial small subunit ribosomal RNA
Source: RNAcentral
GACGGAGGAUGCAAGUGUUAUCCGGAAUCACUGGGCGUAAAGGGCGCGUAGGCGGCUCGAUUAGUCGGGUGUGAAAUCCCUGGGCUUAACCUGGGAAUUGCAUUCGAUACUGUCGAGCUAGAGUGCGGUAGAGGGAAGCGGAAUUUCCGGUGUAGCGGUGAAAUGCGUAGAUAUCGGAAGGAACACCAGUGGCGAAGGCGGCCCCCUGGACAGAUACUGACACUCAGAUGCGAAAGCGUGGGGAGCAAACAGG